CGGCUGCGGGACACAGUGAGCCCAGCUCACGCACACUGACCCAGGUGCUUCCCCACCGCCCACCGCCCACCGCCCAUCGCCAUGCCGGAAGUCGAGAGAAAAUCCAAGAUCACCGCCUCCCGCAAGCUCAUGCUGAAGAGCCUGAUGCUGGCCAAGGCCAAGGAGUGCUGGGAGCAGGAGCAGGAGGAGCGCGAGGCC
Non-coding RNA from Miniopterus natalensis, 198 nucleotides. Lineage: Eukaryota; Metazoa; Chordata; Mammalia; Chiroptera; Miniopteridae. The record is from RefSeq and is a predicted model, not a curated record.